RNAcentral lists this ribosomal RNA (445 nucleotides) under uncultured bacterium. RNAcentral's name for it is "partial 16S ribosomal RNA". It matches the Rfam family "Bacterial small subunit ribosomal RNA", at positions 354 to 796 of the family's 1533-position model. The record is from RNAcentral.
GUGAGGAAUAUUGCGCAAUGGACGAAAGUCUGACGCAGCCAUGCCGCGUGCAGGAUGACGGCCCUAUGGGUUGUAAACUGCUUUUGUAUAGGAAGAAACUCGAAUACGUGUAUUUGAUUGACGGUACUAUAUGAAUAAGCAUCGGCUAACUCCGUGCCAGCAGCCGCGGUAAUACGGAGGAUGCAAGCGUUAUCCGGAUUUAUUGGGUUUAAAGGGUGCGUAGGCGGAAUAUUAAGUCAGUGGUGAAAUCCUGCAGCUUAACUGUAGCACUGCCAUUGAUACUGAGAUUCUUGAGUACGGUUGAGGUAGGCGGAAUGUGUAAUGUAGCGGUGAAAUGCUUAGAUAUUACACAGAACACCGAUUGCGUAGGCAGCUUACUAAGCCGCAACUGACGCUGAGGCACGAAAGCGUGGGGAUCGAACAGGAUUAGAUACCCCUGUAGUCC